This is a non-coding RNA of Procambarus clarkii (red swamp crayfish), 2039 nucleotides long. The record is from RefSeq and is a predicted model, not a curated record. Lineage: Eukaryota; Metazoa; Arthropoda; Malacostraca; Decapoda; Cambaridae.
AACUACUUCAGCAGCCGCAAAUGCUCGAGCAACUCAGUUUAGUUGGAGCAUUCGUGGUGUGAGGGUCGACGAAGUCAAUUCGAAGUGAUCGUGAAUGAACAACGAAGGAAAAGUUGAAAGAUAAUCUUGAAAGGACUUUGAAUAUAUUACUGCCCUCUAUAAACCGGGGGACAUAUCAUGGAAGCUUUAAAGGAAGAUUGACAGCAGAAGCUAAAGCAGAGACGUGUAUAGAUACGUCCCUAAAGCAAAGAGAGUAAGAGAAGUGAAACAUGGUGGCGAAAAGCCAGUGUGUUUACACAGCAAAUAGUCUUCACUGACAGCUGGGCCCGGGCGGGGAGGUGACACACCACCCUCAACACUAUGCAGGUGGUGGAGAGGAGCAGAGACCCCGCGAGCAGCCGCGGCUGGUGGAGACACACCCACAACACCCGCUACACAACCUGCAGCUACUACACUUGUGUCCGCACUCAUCCCAUGGUGUAUUUAGUCACCUUUCUAGUGGCAUAGAUUAUUGAGCUUAAAUAUAUUUGUUAAUGUCUCGUCCUCGCAAUACAACACUCUUAAGUCAGUCAUGGACACAAAAUAAUUAAAUUUUGGCCUAAUUUCAAGAGUUUUCCAUUUACAGUGUGCAUGUAAAAGUUACAUUUGACACGUGACUGAAUUUGGUAAAUAUAAGUUAGUUUUGUGUUGGAAGUAGUUUCACGGACGUAUUACCACGCUUAAUAUACAUAUGUUUUCUGCAUCAGGUGAUGAGGCUUCUAUCAAAAGUGCGCAUGGACCAGACUCUCUCACCAGGAGCCAUAGCCUCGUCAGGAAUUAUCCUUAUCGUAUCUUUAUAUACAUGUUUGCAACUAUGUGUUCUGCGUCUAUCACUCCAGAUUAUCUCUGCUGUGUUACUCACAAAAUAUGGAGUGCCAAUUGCUUCAGUUGCAACAGCUGCAAAUUUUGAACGCCGCGGUUCCUACGGCGUUCUGGCAGGAGUAUGUGCUUUGUUGCGUUCAUAGCAGGAGAAUAUGCCCUACGGUUCGUAACAAUGGUAUAUACACUGUGGCGUUCAUAACAGGAAUAUAUAUGCUGUGCUGUUCGUAACACGAAUACUGUGUGAUGUUCGUUAUCGGUGUCAAGGUUUGCCCAAUGUAUCGCAUAUUUAGGCAAUGGGAUAUACGCACAUAACUUGAGCUCCAAUGAAAUAUUCAGAAGAGCAAAAACUGUGCACACCUAGUUGUGUGUGUGAGUUUGGGUGAGGAAGGUGUGUGUGUGUGUGUGUGUGUGUGUGUGUGUGUGUGUGUGUGUGUGUGUGUGUGUGUGUGUGUGUGUGUGUGUGUGAGAGUGGGUUGUGUGUGUUAACUACAAACCGCAAUAAUGCCUAAAUAUUCAACUCAAGUGAAGCCUUUUUCCAAAAUAAAUGUCCUUGCUAAUAUCCUGUGCCCCGGGAGACUAUUAUAACUCGUCACAUUAAUUACUUCACCUGCACUUAAAUUAUGCACUCCAAAUUUGGCCAAGAUUCAGCCAUCGCAGAACUUAAGUCAAAUGAACCAUGAAAGGUAAUAACAAAUUAGCACUGCACCUUAAUUCCAAUAUAGUUUUGGCGAGGAAAAUUUACCUAUCAUAUAGUUUUAUAAAUUCAUUUUACUCCUAUGACUUGGAGAACAAAUAUUUAAGAUGAAAACAAUCGGAAUAAACAAGAAACAGCUGUGUCAACGUAUCUUUCCAGCAGGUUUCUUUCGACUAAAUUUAAGCAACUAAGAGAUGAUAAUGUUUGUGUGAGGAUUGCAUCUGGGCUUAGCCUUGCGGCCUCCCAGGUGGCAAGGCGCCAGUCAGCCCUCGGGGAGGCUCGCCACCUGGCUCCCGGGACUCACCAACGGGCGGGAGGUGUGUGAGUUGUGGCGCUGAAGUGCAGAUGUGCGGCUUUGUCACUCAACAGCCACACAGAUGGACAGUGUAGGUGGGCUCGACUGUGUCAGAGGGUAGGUUGUGCGCGUGACUCUGGCAGAGGAUGUUUAUACAAGGAUGGGAGUGUGAGAGAGAGAGAGAGAGAG